UGAUCUGUAUGGACUGCCCAGUUGGUUUCUUUCCUUGAUUUUGGUUGAGUUCAAACAAUGGAAGGCACAAGCAAGAGAUCUCAAAGUAGGAGGAAACUACAGCACAAGAACAUGAUGUGGGCUCAACUAAUUAGCUGCAUCCACUCAACUUUGCAUCAGGAACUAGUUACACAAAAGAGCAGGAGUGGUGAAGAAUCCACUCUGACAUUGGCAGCAACAUCCUAUCCCAUGGCCCUGGUGGGAGUGGAGCCAGUGUGGCAUAUGAUGUCUGGUGGCAGAGGCGGGUUGGCUGUGCAGGUGGUGGCAUCCAACAUUCACCACUGAUGGGAAUAGGAUCCUCAUGGCUCUAAGGUGCCUGAUCUCACUUGUGGUCUGUUGCUUAGUAUCCUUUGUACAUUUCCCCUUUUAGAAUGUGGUGCUUUAGCUUUCCUAGCAAUUCUCUUAACUAUAUAAAAUCCUUUCAAUAAAUUAAUGUUUGCCUAAA
Molecule: long non-coding RNA, 484 nt
Organism: Hyaena hyaena (striped hyena)
Lineage: Eukaryota; Metazoa; Chordata; Mammalia; Carnivora; Hyaenidae
Exons: 2
Source: RefSeq, a predicted model, not a curated record